Molecule: long non-coding RNA, 1509 nt
Organism: Anopheles merus
Lineage: Eukaryota; Metazoa; Arthropoda; Insecta; Diptera; Culicidae
Exons: 4
Source: RefSeq, a predicted model, not a curated record
CACAAUUUGCAGUAAUUUGUUGUACGGGAGUUUUAUUGCAGUGUCGGCGCGUUGGCGAUGUUUUUGCUGAUCAUGAUGUCUGUGGUGAUUUGAAAUUACGGUUGACAUUUUCCACCAAUUGGUGUGAAGAUCAGAAUGUGUUGGAGUAAUAUCAAUUUCUUGAUUUUACGUGUAUAGCUCGAUUGGAUACCAUAUUGGCCUGAGAAAGGGUACAAAAUGUUACAGCUAAAGACAGAAAUCAUGGAAGAAUUGUUCAUUUGACAGAUAAAAUCGGAUGCGGCGUCCCAAGGUCUAUUGAGGAUAGAGGUUGAAGCAUUCAGUGUAAAUUGACAAACAGCUGUGGGAAAAAUUUGACAUUUCGGUAAGAAGUUGUUUACCUUCAUACGACGGCGGUGGUUUUAGAAAAAAAACGAGUUACACGCGUACCGAGUUUUUAAAAACGACCUAUAUUCCAUCCAAAUAUUAAAAUAAUCGAAGUUUUGGUGCAGUUUAACUCGUUUAAAGUGUACAACAUGACAACAACUUGCGCUGCAUCUUUUUGUAGCAAUAGCCGGUAUCUGGCAAAAAAGCACAACAUCGACAUCAUUUUCCAUAAAUUUCCAACUGAGCCAGUUCUUUUGCGCAAAUGGAUAUUAUUUUGCAAACAAGAAGACAAAUGGACUCCUUCAAAAAACCAUAUUUUGUGCUCCUCACAUUUCGUGAAGGACGAUUACCAGCUCAUCAACUCACCGUCCAAGGAAAACAAGAAGACGUUUAAGAAGCUGAAACCAGUUGAUGCUGGCCGGAAAUCAGAAGGCAGCGAUCACAACGCACGAAUCACUCGGCUGACACUAUCAAUGCUUCAAAGCGGCCAAGGCUGCUUUCGAUAGUGUUCCACAUCAGUGGCGGAUCUAACGGUAGGCGGACUAGGCGGUCGCCUGGGGCCCCGUAGUUCUCUAGUCUAGUCUAGUCGCCUAGAGCCCCCGAUAUCCUUAAUCCGUCACUGUUCCACAUUCCUUACUACUCGUCAAACUCCGAACUCUCAGACUGCCGGAACAGCUGUUGGCCUGGACACUACACUUUGCACCGUACCAUCGCUUCGUUGGGUAUGUCACAAGGAACCAACGUUGAUCGACGUUUCAUUGUACUCUUUGUAUGGCGUAUUCGGGGUUUUUGCUCCAGGAAACCACUUUCUUUAUGCUGACGAUACAAAUAUAUUCAUCCCCAUUCGCGGGCCCCAAAUAAAAUCCUUCCUCAAGCCGACUAGCUGCAUCUUCAGGGCACGUUGUGCACGUUCUUGUCCAGGUGCUCCACAAAACCCUGGAAUUAAGUAUUGAGUGAUCACCAUCACAAACAUUCAGAAAACACAAUGAAAAUAAGCAAUCGCUAGCGAUUGGCUGGGAGUUGUGUGUUGUUUGCACGCCGCGCUUCAUAGACUAUCACCGUAUUCCAUUGUUGAGCAUGUUUAGACGACUGAGAGUUGGUGCUUGCAAUCUAUAAGCUAGUUUAAAAGUGUUGUUCAGCUACCGU